GAACGAAUGGUGCAAUGAUAGCACAACAUAACCGGAAAUUUGUGGAUGGUGGGUUUGAUUCCCCCUUCGUUCG
This is a non-coding RNA of Cymbomonas tetramitiformis, 73 nucleotides long. Lineage: Eukaryota; Viridiplantae; Chlorophyta; Pyramimonadophyceae; Pyramimonadales; Pyramimonadaceae. The record is from the annotation of a GenBank genome assembly.